AAACGACUCUCGGCAACGGAUAUCUCGGCUCACGCAUCGAUGAAGAACGUAGCAAAAUGCGAUACUUGGUGUGAAUUGCAGAAUCCCGUGAACCAUCGAGUUUUUGAACGCAAGUUGCGCCCGAAGCCAUCUGGUUGAGGGCACGCCUGCCUGGGCGUCACGC
RNAcentral lists this ribosomal RNA (163 nucleotides) under Cicerbita thianschanica. RNAcentral describes it as "5.8S ribosomal RNA". It matches the Rfam family "5.8S ribosomal RNA". From Rfam's summary of the family: 5.8S ribosomal RNA (5.8S rRNA) is a component of the large subunit of the eukaryotic ribosome. RNAcentral also lists the same sequence under 5 other names. The record is from RNAcentral. Lineage: Eukaryota; Viridiplantae; Streptophyta; Magnoliopsida; Asterales; Asteraceae.